AAAAAUAAAAAUAAAAUCAAGAGUGCAAGUGUGAGAAAGAGAGAAGGCACGUGGGAGAGAAGAGAAUGAAGGGGAGGAAGGAACUCGAUCUCAAACCUUAGGGAAAUCACCGCAAAAACAAGUAAGGGAGCUUUAUACUCUUGAAAUUCUGAAUUCAAUAAGAAUACUAUGAUGUAUUUAUUAUAUGUGUUUAAGUUGUUGCUCUUAUGCA
Molecule: long non-coding RNA, 211 nt
Filed under: Trifolium pratense (red clover)
Lineage: Eukaryota; Viridiplantae; Streptophyta; Magnoliopsida; Fabales; Fabaceae
Description: long non-coding RNA (TPRA_LNC009527)
Source: RNAcentral